ACUCCUACGGGAGGCAGCAGUGGGGAAUAUUGCACAAUGGGGGAAAGCCCAUCGAUGCAGCCAUGCCGCGUGUGUGAAGAAGGCCAAUUCGGGGCUUUGGUUAAAAGACACUUUUCAGUAGGGAGGAAGGUAGUGUAGUUAACACCUGCAUUAUUUGACGUUACCUACAGAAGAAGCACCGGCUAACUCCGUGCCAGCAGCCGCGGUAAUACGGAGGGUGCGAGCGUUAAUCGGAAUUACUGGGCGUAAAGCGCAUGCAGGCGGCCUGUUAAGUCAGAUGUGAAAGCCCGGGGCUUAACCUCGGAAUUGCAUUUGAAACUGGCAGGCUAGAGUCUUGUAGAGGGGGGUGAGAAUUUCAGGUGUAGCGGUGAAAUGCGUAGAGAUCUGAAGGAAUACCAGUGGCGAAGGCGGCCCCCUGGAGCAAAGACUGACGCUCAGAUGCGAAAGCGUGGGGAGCAAACAGGAUUAGAUACCCUGGUAGCUA
RNAcentral lists this ribosomal RNA (484 nucleotides) under uncultured bacterium. RNAcentral describes it as "bacterial SSU rRNA". It matches the Rfam family "Bacterial small subunit ribosomal RNA", at positions 335 to 796 of the family's 1533-position model. The record is from RNAcentral.